This 1013-nucleotide ribosomal RNA is filed under the name uncultured bacterium. RNAcentral describes it as "bacterial SSU rRNA". It matches the Rfam family "Bacterial small subunit ribosomal RNA", at positions 337 to 1355 of the family's 1533-position model. The record is from RNAcentral.
UCCUACGGGAGGCAGCAGUAAGGAAUAUGGUCAAUGGGGGAACCCUGAACCAGCCAUGCCGCGUGCAGGAAGACUGCCCUACGGGUUGUAAACUGCUUUUAUCGGGGAAUAAACCUCACUACGUGUAGUGAAUUGAAUGUACCCGAGGAAUAAGGAUCGGCUAACUCCGUGCCAGCAGCCGCGGUAAUACGGAGGAUCCAAGCGUUAUCCGGAUUUAUUGGGUUUAAAGGGUGCGUAGGCGGCACUUUAAGUCAGGGGUGAAAUACGGCAGCUUAACUGUCGCAGUGCCUUUGAUACUGAAGUGCUUGAAUGCGGAUGAAGACGGCGGAAUGAGACAAGUAGCGGUGAAAUGCAUAGAUAUGUCUCAGAACACCAAUUGCGAAGGCAGCUGUCUAAGCCGUAAUUGACGCUGAUGCACGAAAGCGUGGGGAUCGAACAGGAUUAGAUACCCUGGUAGUCCACGCCCUAAACGAUGAUGACUCGAUGUUUGCGAUAUACAGUAAGCGUCCAAGCGAAAGCGUUAAGUCAUCCACCUGGGGAGUACGCCCGCAAGGGUGAAACUCAAAGGAAUUGACGGGGGCCCGCACAAGCGGAGGAGCAUGUGGUUUAAUUCGAUGAUACGCGAGGAACCUUACCCGGGCUUGAAAGUUACUGAAGCAUCCAGAGACGGAUGCGUCCUUCGGGACAGGAAACUAGGUGCUGCAUGGCUGUCGUCAGCUCGUGCCGUGAGGUGUUGGGUUAAGUCCCGCAACGAGCGCAACCCCUAUGUCUAGUUGCCAGCACGUUAAGGUGGGGACUCUAGACAGACUGCCUGCGCAAGCAGUGAGGAAGGCGGGGACGACGUCAAGUCAUCAUGGCCCUUACGUCCGGGGCUACACACGUGCUACAAUGGACGGUACAGCGGGCAGCUACACAGCAAUGUGAUGCCAAUCUCGUAAAGCCGUUCACAGUUCGGAUCGGGGUCUGCAACUCGACCCCGUGAAGUUGGAUUCGCUAGUAAUCGCGAUCAGCAA